GGAACACGUGAGGGCCCCAGUGGCAAGCCACUGUGGUGGACCCUCCCCACAAAAAAUAAAUUUAAUAUCGUUGUGGACACAUGGCCCACAUAUCAGAUAUUAAACUGA
This 108-nucleotide ribosomal RNA is filed under the name Triticum aestivum (bread wheat). Its description in RNAcentral is "partial small subunit ribosomal RNA". The record is from RNAcentral. Lineage: Eukaryota; Viridiplantae; Streptophyta; Magnoliopsida; Poales; Poaceae.